This 427-nucleotide ribosomal RNA is filed under the name uncultured bacterium. Its description in RNAcentral is "partial 16S ribosomal RNA". It matches the Rfam family "Bacterial small subunit ribosomal RNA", at positions 355 to 774 of the family's 1533-position model. The record is from RNAcentral.
UGGGGAAUAUUGCACAAUGGGCGCAAGCCUGAUGCAGCCAUGCCGCGUGUAUGAAGAAGGCCUUCGGGUUGUAAAGUACUUUCAGCGAGGAGGAAGGCGGUAAGGUUAAUAACCUUAUCGAUUGACGUUACUCGCAGAAGAAGCACCGGCUAACUCCGUGCCAGCAGCCGCGGUAAUACGGAGGGUGCAAGCGUUAAUCGGAAUUACUGGGCGUAAGGCGCACGCAGGCGGUCUGUCAAGUCGGAUGUGAAAUCCCCGGGCUCAACCUGGGAACUGCAUUCGAAACUGGCAGGCUAGAGUCUUGUAGAGGGGGGUAGAAUUCCAGGUGUAGCGGUGAAAUGCGUAGAGAUCUGGAGGAAUACCGGUGGCGAAGGCGGCCCCCUGGACAAAGACUGACGCUCAGGUGCGAAAGCGUGGGGAGCAAACA